UUCAGAUGAAGAGGAGGAAGAGAAGAUCAUUCCAACCACCAAGAAAAAUGGGCUGAUAUAUAUAUCGUUGAUGCUAUGAUGGCUGGGAAGGACGUGGGUGGCAGGUAACAAGAUGAUGGUCCCAGUUAAGGUUUCUCCGGCUGUUGCCUCCUAGGCUGUGUGGGGUGGCGGAGGCCAAGGAGACCUGCUGCAAGUGGCAAAUGGUCUCCUACAGUAGCAGGCUGUUGGCGCAAAGGCUGAUGCAGUUUAUGGGCGGAUGGGGGUACACAUCGGUGAGUGGGCAGGUGGAGCGGCCUACUUGUGAUUAGUGCGGCCGCUCCCUUUGGAUGCACAGUUUUUAACCGCUAUCAUAGGUAAAGAAGGGAAGAAAUUAAGACUGGAAGUUUACUGGUUUUGGAUUCUUACUUUGGAACUCAAGGUGGCUGGGAUGG
Lolium perenne is the source of this 431-nucleotide non-coding RNA. NCBI's taxonomy places the organism in Eukaryota, Viridiplantae, Streptophyta, Magnoliopsida, Poales, Poaceae. The record is from RefSeq and is a predicted model, not a curated record.